Long non-coding RNA from Equus caballus (horse), 6967 nucleotides. The record is from Ensembl. Lineage: Eukaryota; Metazoa; Chordata; Mammalia; Perissodactyla; Equidae.
GCCGGCUUCAGCUACCUGGAGGGCUCAGUGGAAGCCGACACCUCCCCAUGAUGCGGGGUAAAUGAGGUGCAGACGCCCCUCCCUCCCUGUGCCCCACACCUAGGGGGCAUCCUCCUCAGACCUUGGGCUGGGGCCGGGGUCCCUAGGAAACUGGCCUCCCUUUUAACACUAACCAGCUCGUGUGUACACAAGGGGUUGCCACCUGGGGGGGCCACAGGGUUCAACCCAAGGAUGUUUCCUCUGUCCUGUGGUAGUUUCAAAUUUUGGACAUUCCACUCGCAAAUCUGGAUUUCCUUCUCCUCAAGAGUCAGAAGCUCUGGCACUCCAGGCCCUUACCCUCUUGGCAGCAACUGGACGACCCGAUGUGUGGCGUCCCCUUAGGGCAGGCCUGGGCGCUCUGUUCCCACAGUCCCCGCAAACUCUUCACUGUGCCCCAUCUGGCCUGCCGGACCCUGUAGGCUGCCCGUUUGAGGACCCUGCUGGAGCAUCCAGGGUACAGAGGGUGGGUGACCUGACCAGUCCCCGGCUAGCCCAGGCAUUCUCACUCCUGUGCGGCUGCUCCCUCCACUGCCCCUGCAGCCUCUCACCAAGGAGGGACUUUGGGGUCCGGGUGAUGGAGGUGAGGUUAGCAAUGGCCUCUGGAAGGCUGGGGACCUGGCCACUGCCAAGAGCAGGAACAGCCAGAUGGUCCGUUCUGUGGUUGGGGGGCAUUAAGUCAAACUCACAUCCCCAGGCCCAGGUCCAGCGUCCAGGGCAGAGCUCUGGGAGCUUCUGAGGCUUUGCCACCACCAUGGUGGGGUGGCUUCCCCACCCUGUGGGUGCCCCCCAGGGAUCAGGCCACGCAGAGGGCUGGAGGCUUUGUCUCAGGCAAAGGGAGGGAGGUGUGCAGAGAAACCAGCUGGGGACGCGAGGGCUGGGCCUGGGCCUGUGGACAGAGGCAAGGGAAGACACCAGUGUCCCCAUCCCUGUGCUCCCCAGGGACAAGGCCCCACAGGGCUGGGCUCCUUCUCCUCCCCAGGGCUGACCACAGCUGCCAUGUUGUGUCCCCCAGCUCCUGUCAUGGCGGAUUGACACCGGCUGCUCUGGCACAGCUGCCACAGGCAGCACAGACAGGGUAGUGGUGGCCAGAGGUCCUGCUCAGGAUGGUCACCGGGGAUGGCCACAGGAAAGCCGCUCAGAGCCCUGAUGGCCGCCGCCCAGACCCAGCAGCCCGGGGGAGGGAACGUGUCGGGAAAGACUCCCUCCCGAACUUCCCGCGUCUUUGUUCCGAGGAGGCUGGAGGGCCCGGGCUCCGCCGUGCGCGCUGAUGGCGGCCCCAGCGGCGGGGCGCCCCCCGCGAUUGCCCCCCGGGGCGCCCCCUCCCGGCGCGAGCCCGGGACCCCAGACCCGGACCCAGACCCCUGCGCUCGGACCUGGACCCUGGACCCCCGCGGCCGCGGCGGGCGCCGAGGGCAAGGGCGGGAGAGCGGGCGCCGCUUACCAGGUCGUCCCGGAGCGCCCUCGCGGUCCGGCAGGCCGCAGCCGGAGUCAAGUUCACGUCCGGACGGCGGACUGUCCGAGGUCCCAGGCGCCGCCGGGCAGAGCGAGGCCGCGAGCGGCCGCGGCCCCGGGUCACCUCCGCGGCCGGCCCCGCGGCGCCGCUGUCACCCCAGCCCCGCGACCCCAACUUUCCGCACAAUCGCGAGCUGGAAGUUUCCGGGCUUCGCGGGCGCUGGGCUGGGUUUCAGCAGCGACGUCUGAGCUUGGCAACAAAGAGGGAAAGCAGGCCGGGAGAGGGGAGGAAAGAAAGAAAUACGGUGGAGAAAGGGCCGGCUACUUAGAAAUCUCCAGAACUUGAAAUUCCACCCAGAAGUUUUUUCGGUUGUUUUUUCUUAAGGGAUAAACCAGCACCCCCAGUCCUCUCUAGCCCUGCUCUGCUCCCAUCGCCCAGGCACCCUCCUCCCUCGGCACCUGCCUGGUUCAUAACCCACUCCAAAGCGACUUGGGCAAAUUUUUUAGGGGGGAGAAAAGUGGGUACAAGACGCUUGCUGAAAGGUAGUUGACACUCAGACUGUAUCCCCACACAUCCCUUGUCUUGUCCCCUCAGCACAGGGGCUUGAGCCAGCCGCCAGGAGCAGCUACUCUGUGUUCCUGUCCUGGGAGUGGAGGGACAGCUGGGACCCCUGGUGUCCAGGAGAGGAUGUGGGCUCCAUACUGGUCCUGGCCCAGGCCCACCUGCUCCCGCCCACACCUGUGGUGCAUGUAGGACCCUGUUCUCGCCCUUCAGGCAGAUGUUCCGCGUGUGAGGCAGGAGGACGCCUGGCCUUACCCUGAGCUGGAAGCUCGGGCCUCCUCUUCUUGGGAGCUCCUUGGCUGCUGGCGCUGUUUUUUGCCUUCUCGGCUCUGCCUGGCAGGGUCCUUGGGGACACGUCUGAGCUGGGGGAGGCUACCAAGUGGCCCCAGGCCUGGGAACCUGUGCAGUGGCCAAGCCCAGGCCCUUUGAGGGCCCUGUGAGCACUGGAACAGGAGCUGAGGGGCACAGAUGUCGAGCUGCCGAUGGGCCUUGAGAUGCUCCUGCACUGCUCUGUUCGUCUAUUCAUCUGUCCAUCCUUCCCUGCCAGACAUGCUUACGGAGGAGACGCUUGAUCACAGGCCGGCUGUCCCAGAGCACUGUUUCAGGCUGGGGAGCGUGGGGUUAUCUGUUUGUUUCUUAAAAUUGAGUGAGGGGGCCGUGGACACCAGGGUGAGGGUUGGGGUGGGGGCAGCAUGUUGUCUCUUGUUCCACAAAAGUGGGCGGUGUUCCGAGCUCCAGAGAGCACUAGCGAUUCUCAAAUGUGAUCCUUUCUGGAGUCGGUCCUGGACCUCCAUACGUGGUUCACGGAAGAGGGUGCAGCCACGGGGGCACUUGAUGGUGCUGCCCAUCCAUCUGGAGACUUCCGGAACUUUUCAUGGGGCUGAGGACAUGGAGGUAGUGGAGGUGGACAGGUGGUGCCUGGGGCUGGCUGGGGCGGGGGGGACAUGGAGCCAGUUUUCAGAGCCGCAAAUACUCAUCAGCUUACAUACACAGGCUGCCAGUUUGUCCCCAGUGCCUGCAUUUGGCCUCAUUUGGGGGUAAAAUCCACCCACCAGUGAACCCCAGGAUCCUUUCCCAGAGGGAGUGGAAUGAGGUUUCUUAUUGUGUUUUUACAGGAGCAAGCAUGGGCGUCGGCUCUUCUCAUUUCUCCCCAGGAUGUAGGCAGGCCAGCUGUGCACACUCCAGCAGAGCGGUUGAAGUUCCAUCGAGUCUUGAGGCUCAGUGCCAGGGUGUGACAUUUCACAACAAUAUGCAGUAGAUACCCCUCACCUGAAGUGAAAGCUCCUAGCACAGAGGCUUGGCCCUCUCCUGGGGAGGGAAGCCUGCCUGGCUCGCCCUCUCCCAUCCUCAGCUGCCGCCACUUGGUGUUUUCAGGACCGGAAAACGCGUUGAGAACCUCACGUCUUCCUGGAGCUUGCACCCAUUUGCUUUCUGACAUCUGGUCACUGGUGCUGUUCGUCCCAAAAGGGGAUGUCGCUCACCCUAGCUCCAUCAAAAACCGUCAAGAUCUUGUCCCAGCAGGCUUCAUGGGCGUGUGACCUGUGCUGCAGCCCCGUGCUCACUGCUCUGCUGUCCCCAUCUUAGAAUUCUUCAUCUUUUGAACAAGCGGCCCUGCAUUUCCAUUUUGCCCUGGGCCCUGAAAAUUAUGUAGCUGAUCCCUACUUUGGCCAUUGGUUAACAGGAUCAUAAAGUAGGAAAAAAAAAAAAGAUUUUUUUUUUUUUACUAAAUUCUGUUUACAGGAAUAAUUUCAGAUUCUACCUAAACAAGAUAAAAUAUUUUAAUUGAAGAUCAUUGUAAUUAGAGAAAACGUUCACCUGAAAGAGGCAGGAAGUUGUUAUGGAAAUAGUACAGCUCUGAGAGUCGGAAUCAUUCACGCUCAGCCCCCAGCUCCGCCGUGUGGGCGCCGGCUGCCGUCUCAGGGCCUCGGCUCCCACGUGCAGGGGGUGACAGCUCCCACUGCAGGGUGUUCUGAGCAGCCGGGACGGUGGGAGAGCUUGGCAGAAGAUCAGGCACAUACCAGCUACUCAGUAACAAGUACCCUUGAUGGUCAUGGUAAUCAUUUGAGCCUCAGUGCAGUCUGACUACUUUUAAUAUAAGAGUAUUUAACUCCUUUUAUUGUAAAAGUAAUACACAUUGUUACAGAAGGUUUGGAGAAUAUAGAAAAACAAAGAGAGAGAGAGAGACAGAGACAGAGACAGAGACAGAGAAAGAGAGAAAGAAAAAGCAAGCAAUUCUUUACCUCUUCGUCUUUUACUCCAAAGCCUUCCACCAGUGACAUUACAAUUUCUUUCUUUAUAGUUAUAUAAAUAGACAUGCAAAUACAUUUCAUUCUAAAAGCUUUCUUUUCUUUUACCCCAGGGUCUUACUUUUUAACAGAAACUGCAGCGAGGCCGGCAGGAGGACGGGUGCACGGCUGCGGCCCCAACAGUGGGCUCCUGUGUGCCGACUGCAUUCAGCGCAGCUCCACACGCGGGGGUAAAUCCACGGGCUCUGCGGUUGCCUGGCCACAGGGACCAUAAAUUGUGACACUUGCGGUCAUGGAAGUGCCGAGUGAUAAAAACUCGACGUCACAAAGUGUCCUUAACCUGCUGCUGCCUCAUCUUUCUCAUUUGUGACUUGGUUAAAGAAAAUUUUUUUGUAACAGUUUCAGGCUCUUCUUUUUCGUUUCCUCAGUCUGCUGCAGAACCCCUUCAGUCAGGGAGGGAAAAGCAACCAAGCCAAUCUGGUCUCCUUGUUGGCACCUCUGUGAGGCCAGCUGGCUAGAGGGAGGGGGCCCGAUGGCGGAGGGAGAGGGCGAUGCUGGGGUCCCAGCAGCCCCCAAAGCAGGCGGGGCCCUCUCCUCGAAGAAGCUCACCUUUAACCUCCAAGCCCAGCCGACAGGCCCCCUGAUUGUGCAGUAGAUUACAAAUCGCACAAGAACCCAGAGCAGACAACAGACACAGGAGAAACACAGCCCUUGCCCCCAAAUCUGCGCUCCAUGAACCAGCUAUUUGGGGCCCAGAAGCUCCCAGGAACUGAAGUCUGAAGGUGGUGAGAAUCCAGGCAUGAGGCCAAGUCUGAGCUCCACUGGCUACUGGCCCGGGGACUUUGGGCAAGUCAUUUCUCUCUGAGCCUCAGUUUCCCCAGUUUGGAGAGAGUGGUGGCGGUAAACAAUAGCCCCAGCCUCACAAGGCCAAGCCGGGCAGGAGAUGCGCUAGAGUGCUCUGGCUCUGGCACAGGGUCUGCCCCCCCCGCCCUCCCCCCAGUCCCUGCAACUCACCAAGGAGGGGCUCCUCCGGUGGGGAAAGUGGCACAGGGGCAGAGAGACCAGAACCCCGCUCCCCACCCUUUUCCCGGGCAGCAUGGGAGACUGGUACCUUUGGGAGAGGUGCUCAGAGCUACAGGGUUGCGGCACUCCAAACGGGAGGGUCUGGCUUCACGGCUACCCCAGCUGGUUCAGGGACAGGCCUCCUCCCUUCAUCGGCAGAGCCCAGUGGGCACGGCAGCCCUCGAGAAUAACCCAGCCCAGAAACGGCCAAAGAGCCAGGGAAGGGGCCCCGCCUCUCACUCUGCUACCAGCUUCCAGGCGGUUCCCUUUCGCUGGACCGGGGCAUCCUCGCAGCCCAGUCCUGGACCCAGCUCUGCGUCCCUGACCUGCCACAGCUGGAAAAAAGAAAAAGAGAUAUUUGUUUUUAUUUAAUUUGUUUAUAAAAAGAAAAGUGUUUGUUACAGAAAAUUUGGAAAUACAGAAAAGCACAAAAAAGAAAACAAAAAUUACCCGUGAGAUAACUACCAGGUAUGUUUUCUUGAAGUCCUUCUGGUAUCUUUCCCAAACCAUAUACUAUAUGUACUAGACAUGUCUGUAUGAUCAUACUAUAGGUUAUUUCAGAUCCUUUUCGCUUAAUAUGUUGUGAGUAUUUUGUGUCAUUAAGUAUUAUUCUCUAUGGGAUUUGAAAAAUAAAAUCUAAAUAUCAACUAAUUUUUUAAAUCAACUUCACUGAGGUGUAAUUUCCAUGAAGAUCUCUUUCACUUGUGCUGUUCGACGAGUUUUGACACAUGCAUACCCCCAUGUAACCAGCACCACAAUCAAGAAAAAAAAUACGAUCACCACAAAAUGUCCCCUAGUCCCCCUUGCAGGCGGGCCCUACCUCCCAGGUCCCAGGCAGACACCCAUCUGAAUCCUACCACUGUAGAUUAGUUUUACCUUUAUUUAAUUUAACAUAAGCGGGAUCAGAGAGUAGGAUCUCUUGCUCAGCAUAACUGACACUCAUGGACGUCGCUGAGUCUCUCACCAGCCCACGCCUUAUUGUUUUACGGUAUCCCAUCGUAUGGCGCCCACAGUCUGUUUACCCACUCAUCUGUGGGUGGACAGUUGGGUUAUUUCUGAUGUUCUGGCUAUUGCGAACAGAACUUUGUGAAUGCUUUAAAUUUUUAACGAGCUGUGUCACUGGCACAGGUUGAGGUAGACCCACCGUGUGGGCGUGGUCCGUGUGUUUCCUGCCUGGAGCAUCGCGCUGAGUUCAUCCUGGGUGGGUUAUCACUUUUGCCACUGUUGUCAGACAUGUUGUCCCGUUGAAGUGUUUGCUACUGUAAAUCAUGCUGCUGGGAACAGCUUUAUCCUGACACUUCUACGUACGGCUGUGUUGCUUUCCUGAGGUCACACAGCAGUGGGCACUCAGUCUCAGCAUGACUGCUCUUUGUAGACAUCAGGCCCCAGCCUCUCUUCUGAGUUAGAAAGGUCUCUGCCCCUGGGUGUGGCUGGCAGACCCCAAGGCGCACACAUUCGUCUGAAGCUAGCUCACCUAGAGCCCAAGAUGAUUUGUAAUUGCUUGGAGGAUACAAAUGGUCCAGACUCUCCCUCCCCCUGACUCAAUCCUGAGGAGCUUCCUUCCUGGAACCAACCUCAGGGCUCAGGUCCCUGCGGGACUUCCUUC